GCUGGAAUCGCUAGUAAUCGCGGAUCAGAAUGCCGCGGUGAAUACGUUCCCGGGUCUUGUACACACCGCCCGUCACACCAUGGGAGUCGGAAAUGCCCGAAGUCUGUGACCUAACCGUAAGGAAGGAGCAGCCGAAGGCAGGUCGGAUGACUGGGGUGAAGUCGUAACAAGGUACC
This 176-nucleotide ribosomal RNA is filed under the name uncultured bacterium. Its description in RNAcentral is "partial 16S ribosomal RNA". It matches the Rfam family "Bacterial small subunit ribosomal RNA", at positions 1325 to 1500 of the family's 1533-position model. The record is from RNAcentral.